This 348-nucleotide unclassified non-coding RNA is filed under the name soil metagenome. RNAcentral describes it as "partial contains 5.8S ribosomal RNA, internal transcribed spacer 2, and large subunit ribosomal RNA". The stretch from base 1 to 121 matches the Rfam family "5.8S ribosomal RNA", at positions 35 to 154 of the family's 154-position model. The record is from RNAcentral.
GAUGAAGAACGUAGCGAACGUGCGAAACGUAAUGUGAAUUGCAGAAUUCAGUGAAUCAUCGAAUCUUUGAACGCACAUUGCGCCCGCCAGUAUUCUGGCGGGCAUGCCUGUCUGAGCGUCAUUUCAACCCUCAUGCCCCUAGGGCGUGGUGUUGGGGAUCGGCCAAAGCCCGCGAGGGACGGCCGGCCCCUAAAUCUAGUGGCGGACCCGUCGUGGCCUCCUCUGCGAAGUAGUGAUAUUCCGCAUCGGAGAGCGAUGAGCCCCUGCCGUUAAACCCCCAACUUUCCAAGGUUGACCUCAGAUCAGGUAGGAAUACCCGCUGAACUUAAGCAUAUCAAUAAGCGGGGA